UGGGGAAUUUUGGACAAUGGGGGCAACCCUGAUCCAGCAAUGCCGCGUGUGUGAAGAAGGCCUUCGGGUUGUAAAGCACUUUUGUCCGGAAAGAAAACGUCGUGGUUAAUACCCGUGGCGGCUGACGGUACCGGAAGAAUAAGCACCGGCUAACUACGUGCCAGCAGCCGCGGUAAUACGUAGGGUGCAAGGCGUUAAUCGGAAUUACUGGGCGUAAAGCGUGCGCAGGCGGUCCGCUAAGACAGAUGUGAAAUCCCCGGGCUUAACCUGGGAACUGCAUUUGUGACUGGCGGGCUAGAGUAUGGCAGAGGGGGGUAGAAUUCCACGUGUAGCAGUGAAAUGCGUAGAGAUGUGGAGGAAUACCGAUGGCGAAGGCAG
This 378-nucleotide ribosomal RNA is filed under the name uncultured bacterium. Its description in RNAcentral is "partial 16S ribosomal RNA". It matches the Rfam family "Bacterial small subunit ribosomal RNA", at positions 355 to 724 of the family's 1533-position model. The record is from RNAcentral.